UACGGAGGGGGUCAGUGUUGUUCGGAAUUACUGGGCGUAAAGGGCGCGCAGGCGGCUUGGCAAGUCGAGUGUGAAAGCCCUUGGCUUAACUAAGGAAUGGCGCUCGAAACUACCUCGCUAGAGGACGGGAGAGGGAAGUGGAACUCUCGGUGUAGGGGUGAAAUCUGUAGAUAUCGAGAGGAACACCGGUGGCGAAGGCGGCUUCCUGGCCCGUUCCUGACGCUGAGGCGCGAAAGCGUGGGGAGCAAACAGG
RNAcentral lists this ribosomal RNA (253 nucleotides) under uncultured bacterium. Its description in RNAcentral is "partial 16S ribosomal RNA". It matches the Rfam family "Bacterial small subunit ribosomal RNA", at positions 524 to 776 of the family's 1533-position model. The record is from RNAcentral.